GGGUCAGCUUAGCAUAGUGGAUACUUCGUUCAAUUUGUCUUGCAUAUACAAAUGGGGUCCCGGGUUCGAGCCCGGGGCUUACAUCCACUCGCGCCGUCUAACCCGCUC
This 108-nucleotide vault RNA is filed under the name Clytia hemisphaerica. It matches the Rfam family "Vault RNA". From Rfam's summary of the family: This family of RNAs are found as part of the enigmatic vault ribonucleoprotein complex. The complex consists of a major vault protein (MVP), two minor vault proteins (VPARP and TEP1), and several small untranslated RNA molecules. Lineage: Eukaryota; Metazoa; Cnidaria; Hydrozoa; Leptothecata; Clytiidae. The record is from Rfam by way of RNAcentral.